RNAcentral lists this transfer RNA (75 nucleotides) under Rhodospirillales bacterium. RNAcentral describes it as "tRNA-Val". It matches the Rfam family "tRNA". From Rfam's summary of the family: Transfer RNA (tRNA) molecules are approximately 80 nucleotides in length. Lineage: Bacteria; Pseudomonadati; Pseudomonadota; Alphaproteobacteria; Rhodospirillales. The record is from RNAcentral.
GGGUGCGUAGCUCAGCGGGAGAGCACUGCGUUGACAUCGCAGGGGUCGCUGGUUCAAUCCCAGCCGCGCCCACCA